CAAAACAAAUGCAUCAUAGAUUUUGUCACUCCCAGUACAAAAAAAAGUUAAACGUCCAAAGAAAAACUAAAUGACCUCUAGAAACAGCGACUGUGUACAGAACACUUUUUCACCAGCAGAGCAAAACAAAAGCAGCGCCCAGUUGUGUGUGUAAACAAUACAAUUUGUCUCCAUGACUUACGCGUAUAUUCCGCGCGUUGAGCGGGGGGGGGGGGGAGAAGAGAGAGAAAAAGGUGUGAGAAUGGAGCGAUUACAGAACCUUUAAAGAAAAGUAGAACAUAAUGGAGUAGUUGCUAAACCUUUAAAGAUAACAUCAUGGAAAGUUGCUGAACCUUUAAAGAAAGGAACGUAGGACAGAAUGGAGUGUUUGCUGAACGCAGAAUGCUGUCGUUUCUGAACCUUUAAAGGAGGAAAGCGUUUAGGCCCCACAGCAGAAGCGUCCACGUUGCAGGGCUGGAAACUGGAAGUUUCCCGAGCUAUUUCUGCUACCACCAUCAUCUAUUGUAACAAGUGGUGGCUUCCACUGAUUGUCGCCGGAAGCUUGCGUCCUUUUCAAGACGGACGAUGACAGCGAGGUCAACAUUUGAAACAUGGAAGAUAGACACGAAAGAGGAAGAAGAAGCAUUGUAUACAAAGAAUCGUACAAGAUUUAAUCAAUUGGCAAUCUCCAUCCCACGCCCAACAUUACUGAAAGACGCUGGUGACCCACUGAGUUCCUCCACCUCGUUGUGUGUUCAAUUUAGAACGAUUCCUCUCCGAGCUCCCUGUGUGAGAUGAUAUCAACAUCAAUUAUUGGAAUAGCUCAAUUAAAAGAAACACAAGCUUGUGCAAUUGUGUUGGCCUAGGCAAAUCCAAAUGACCAAUAAACCUGCCAGCACCCUACUGCUUGUCACUCCUUACCAUAAUUCAGGAUUUUCAUCUUGUUGUAUGUUUGAAGGACCAUGCUUACAAUUUAAAUUCUUGUUGUAACUUCAAAAUGCCUUUCUAAUGAUGGAUUUAUUUAUUUGUGUUAGUGCUUUUAUUGAGACCAGUUCAUUUGACGUCAUUAGAUUCUCUUAUGUCUGAGAAAACAAAUCUAAAAAAACAGAUACAAAUUGAGAGAGUAACUCAGCGGAUCAAGCAGCAUCUCUGGGGGAAAAAAAGACACAAGGUGCUGGAGUAACUCAGCAGGUCAGGCAGCAUCUCUGGAGAACAUGGAUGGGCAACAUCAGUCUGAAGGAGGGUCCCGAUCCGAAACGUCACAUAUCCAUGUUCUCCAGAGAUGCUGCCUGAUCAGCCGAGUUACUCCAGCACUUUGUGCCUUUUUUUUGUUAACCAGCAUCUGCAGUUCCUUGUAUCUGGAAAAAAAGUAAACUUGGUCAUUGUUUGAGAAUUCAAAACUUGUGCUUUAAUGACACUGCGGCAUAACAGGUAAUCAAAUUUAAAAUCAUAACUAUUCUAAUUGCAUCAUAUAUUAAAUGUUUAUCUUUUAUCUCAUAUAUUAUAUGUUUAUCAUCUGCCACAGAAGGCAGUGGAGGCCAAUUCACUGGAUGUGUUCAAGAGAAAGUUAGAUUUAGCUCUUAGGGCUAACGGAAUCGAGGGAUAUGGGGAAAAAGCGGGAACCGGUUACUGAUUUUGGAAGU
Long non-coding RNA from Leucoraja erinaceus (little skate), 1622 nucleotides. RefSeq lists it as uncharacterized. The record is from RefSeq and is a predicted model, not a curated record. The transcript has 3 exons. Lineage: Eukaryota; Metazoa; Chordata; Chondrichthyes; Rajiformes; Rajidae.